UACGUAGGUGGCAAGCGUUGUCCGGAUUUAUUGGGCGUAAAGCGCGCGCAGGCGGUCCUUUAAGUCUGAUGUGAAAGCCCACGGCUCAACCGUGGAGGGUCAUUGGAAACUGGAGGACUUGAGUACAGAAGAGGAAAGCGGAAUUCCACGUGUAGCGGUGAAAUGCGUAGAGAUGUGGAGGAACACCAGUGGCGAAGGCGGCUUUCUGGUCUGUAACUGACGCUGAGGCGCGAAAGCGUGGGGAGCAAACAGG
Molecule: ribosomal RNA, 253 nt
Filed under: uncultured bacterium
Lineage: Bacteria
Description: partial 16S ribosomal RNA
Rfam family: Bacterial small subunit ribosomal RNA
Source: RNAcentral